This 372-nucleotide ribosomal RNA is filed under the name uncultured bacterium. RNAcentral describes it as "bacterial SSU rRNA". It matches the Rfam family "Bacterial small subunit ribosomal RNA", at positions 524 to 898 of the family's 1533-position model. The record is from RNAcentral.
CACGUAGGGGGCAAGCGUUGUUCGGAAUCAUUGGGCGUAAAGGGUGCGCAGGCGGCCGUCCAAGUCUGGUGUGAAAGAUCCCGGCUCAACCGGGAGAACGCGCUGGAAACUGGAUGGCUAGAGUACAGGAGGGGGAGUUGGAAUUCCAGGUGUAGGGGUGAAAUCUGUAGAUAUCUGGAAGAACACCGGUGGCGAAGGCGAACUCCUGGCCAUGUACUGACGCUGAGGCACGAAGGCGUGGGGAGCAAACAGGUUUAGAUACCCUGGUAGUCCACGCAGUAAACGAUGCACACUAGGUGGUGGGUGGUAGCACUCAGUACCGUAGCAAACGCGUUAAGUGUGCCGCCUGGGGAGUAUGCUCGCAAGGGUGAA